CGGAGGAGCAUGUGGUUAAUUCGAUGAUACGCGAGGAACCUUACCUGGGCUCGAACGUAAGAUGACUGUAGGUGAAAGCUUACAUCUCUUCGGAGCAUUUUACGAGGUGCUGCAUGGUUGUCGUCAGCUCGUGCCGUGAGGUGUCGGGUUAAGUCCCAUAACGAGCGCAACCCCUACCUUUAGUUGCCAUCAGGUUAAGCUGGGGACUCUAAAGGAACUGCCUACGCAAGUAGUGAGGAAGGCGGGGAUGACGUCAAAUCAGCACGGCCCUUACGUCCAGGGCUACACACGUGCUACAAUGGCCGAUACAGAGGGCAGCUACCUGGUGACAGGAUGCAAAUCUCCAAAGUCGGUCUCAGUUCGGAUCGGAGUCUGCAACCCGACUCCGUGAAGUUGGAUUCGCUAGUAAUCGCGCAUCAGCCAUGGCGCGGUGAAUACGUUCCCGGGCCUU
This 451-nucleotide ribosomal RNA is filed under the name uncultured Sphingobacteriales bacterium. Its description in RNAcentral is "bacterial SSU rRNA". It matches the Rfam family "Bacterial small subunit ribosomal RNA", at positions 930 to 1382 of the family's 1533-position model. The record is from RNAcentral. Lineage: Bacteria; Pseudomonadati; Bacteroidota; Sphingobacteriia; Sphingobacteriales.